UAUUUUUGCAUGUAUUUCUUUCAGCAAGAAAAAGGCCCUGUGGCAAACACUCGCCGAAAUGAUUUCUAGAGAGUUUGAAUCUCCGUGUAGCCCACUGCAAGUACAGAACAAAUAGAAAAGUCUCAAGCGGGCGUACAAACACACCAAAUCAAAAAAUAACUCUUCAGGAAGUGGAAGGGUGUCUUGCGAAUUUGAAGAAGAACUGAGUGAUGUUCUGGAAAAAGAACGUCACAUCAUCCCGACAGUAUUGAUUACCCCAGGAAGGGUGAUUGAAAAGAACAGGGACAGCCACGAUGCAAGCAGGCCUAAUGAUCGUCCACCAGUAAGUGCGUCUCAGGAUGCAGAACCUGCCAGACCAGAAGGUGCGGCUGCUGCAUAUUCUGGCUCAGAAGAACCUGCCGAAAUGAAGACCCAGCUGCAGCUGAAGAAGCGUUAAGCCAACCCCAUAAAAAAAGAAAAAGGGUGGAUUGCACGCCAAUUCAAUGUCUCCUUCAAGAAUUUAGAGAAAGC
Molecule: long non-coding RNA, 510 nt
Organism: Rhipicephalus microplus (southern cattle tick)
Lineage: Eukaryota; Metazoa; Arthropoda; Arachnida; Ixodida; Ixodidae
Source: RefSeq, a predicted model, not a curated record